This 253-nucleotide ribosomal RNA is filed under the name uncultured bacterium. RNAcentral's name for it is "partial 16S ribosomal RNA". It matches the Rfam family "Bacterial small subunit ribosomal RNA", at positions 524 to 776 of the family's 1533-position model. The record is from RNAcentral.
UACGGGGGGUGCGAGCGUUGCCCGGAAUUACUGGGCGUAAAGGGCGCGUAGGCGGCCUGCUAAGUCGAACGUGAAAUCCCCGGGCUCAACCCGGGAACUGCGUCCGAUACUGGCAGGCUUGAAUUCGGGAGAGGGAUGCGGAAUUCCAGGUGUAGCGGUGAAAUGCGUAGAUAUCUGGAGGAACACCGGUGGCGAAGGCGGCAUCCUGGACCGAAAUUGACGCUGAGGCGCGAAAGCCAGGGGAGCAAACGGG